RNAcentral lists this long non-coding RNA (1271 nucleotides) under Monodelphis domestica (gray short-tailed opossum). RNAcentral describes it as "lncRNA (ENSMODG00000041146.1)". The record is from RNAcentral. Lineage: Eukaryota; Metazoa; Chordata; Mammalia; Didelphimorphia; Didelphidae.
AUCUACUCUAUUUCUUAAAUGUUUCAUUUUCUUUGAAACUGUUUACUUAUUAGGAAAUAAAUGUAAGCAGGAAGUACACACAAAUGUACACACAAACAUACACAUACAUGAAAAACACAGUAUAUUGCAUUUUUUCUUUUGAGAAGAAUGAUAUAUUCAUCUUCUCUGGGGAUAAUUUUAACCUUUCUUCAUGGAAGAUAAUUUGUUGAAAAUAUAGCCUCCAAUUGCAAUGUUUCUGAUUACAAAGUACAUGUUUCUAUAUAAUUUUCAUGUCUGUCAUUAUUUCAGUGAGGGUGCUUGAAAAAACAAUUUCUUGAAAGUUUUCAUUCUGUUGAGCUGCCAGAUUGAUUUUUAUAGAUAUUCCAGUAUGACAAAGGUAAAAAACUGAAACAAUUGUGUCUUUUCUGAGUUUGCUAAAGUGAAUUCUUUAGAGUUGAGAGGGUGGCAUCAAAUCAGUCCUUGGGCCCCAUACUUAGCUCCCGAAUUGAGGUUGAGAAGACUCUAUCUCUAUUUUUAUUGUUUAUUAUACUCAAAUUUCAGAAGGACACAAAAAUUCAAAACAAACAACAGGAUAGAUCCUGGGAACCCUCCUCCUGGACCUGGAUCAAAAGGUAUGGGCCCCCCAAAAGCCAGAACCCAAGAUCACUCGGGUCUCAGGGGUAGGCAGAAGGAAGGUCCCAGGACCCAUCCCUCACAACCCAGAUUAGUGAUAUUUCCUCAUUAUCUAAAGUCCCUUUUAACAGAAUAUAAUAACCUUCCCUAUCCCUUUUAAUCAGGUCUAUUUUUGCUUUGGCUUUAUCAGAUAUCUUGAUUGCAACUCCUGCCUUCUUUCUGUCAGUUGAGGCCCAGAAGGUCUUACUCCAUCCUUUAAUUCUGACCUUUUGGGUGUCUACCUGCCUCGUGUGUUUCUUGAAGACAACAUAUGGUAGGGUUUUGGAUUCUAAUCCAUUCUGCUAAUUCAUCUAUGUUUUAUGGGUGUGUUCAUCCCAUUCACGUUCAAAGUUAUGAUUGUCACUUGUGGACUUCCUGGCAUUUUGAUAUCCUUCCCUAAUUCUAACCUUCUUCUUCGGCUCUACCUUUUAAUCCAGUGAUUUACUUUAAAUCAGUCCCCCUUGUCCCCUCCAUUGAUAUGUUUCCCUUUCUAGCCCCUCCCUUUUUGUUCCCUCCCCCUCCCCCCUCUUCUUCCCUCCCUUUUUUGUAUUCCCUUCCCCCUACCCUCCUUGGUUUUCCCUUCUCCCUAUCCUUGUUGGGUAAGAUAGAAUUCAAGAUCC